GCAGGGUUCGGGGUUCGGGGGCGGGGUGUUCACGGUGAGACCAAAAGUCAGGCCCGCAGCCGUGCCGGGUGCUCUCCAGCAUGUCCUUCAUCCCGGUGGCCGAGGAUUCCGACUUCCCCAUCCACAACCUGCCCUACGGCGUCUUCUCGACCAGAGGCGACCCAAGACCGAGGAUAGGUGUGGCCAUUGGCGACCAGAUCCUGGACCUCAGCAUCAUCAAGCACCUCUUUACUGGUCCUGUCCUCUCCAAACACCAGGAUGUCUUCAAUCAGCCUACACUCAACAGCUUCAUGGGCCUGGGUCAGGCUGCCUGGAAGGAGGCAAGAGUGUUCCUGCAGAACUUGCUGUCUGUGAGCCAAGCCAGGCUCAGAGAUGACACCGAACUUCGGAAGUGUGCAUUCAUCUCCCAGGCUUCUGCCACGAUGCACCUUCCAGCCGCCAUAGGUGAGUGCAGUCUCUUCACCAAGACAAGAACGGAGCAGCUUCGUGGGCCAAGAGGGCUGGCCAGGAGACUACACAGACUUCUAUUCCUCUCGGCAGCAUGCUACCAACGUCGGAAUCAUGUUCAGGGACAAGGAGAAUGCAUUGAUGCCAAAUUGGUAUGAACUGGGCCAAAUGUUUGCAUAAGUUCAAAGUCUUUCAUUUCCAGCAGCAUGUUUGUCUCAGGAGCUGCCAAGUUCUUCUUAAAGUAAACUGGGGAGGAAAAGCAGUUAUGAUGUUGUUGCAACCUCUGGAGGCAGUGGU
RNAcentral lists this small RNA (744 nucleotides) under Pan troglodytes (chimpanzee). RNAcentral's name for it is "retained intron". The record is from RNAcentral. Lineage: Eukaryota; Metazoa; Chordata; Mammalia; Primates; Hominidae.